RNAcentral lists this ribosomal RNA (1331 nucleotides) under Janthinobacterium sp. Lc51-6. RNAcentral's name for it is "bacterial SSU rRNA". It matches the Rfam family "Bacterial small subunit ribosomal RNA", at positions 18 to 1352 of the family's 1533-position model. Lineage: Bacteria; Pseudomonadati; Pseudomonadota; Betaproteobacteria; Burkholderiales; Oxalobacteraceae. The record is from RNAcentral.
CCUGGCUCAGAUUGAACGCUGGCGGCAUGCCUUACACAUGCAAGUCGAACGGCAGCACGGAGCUUGCUCUGGUGGCGAGUGGCGAACGGGUGAGUAAUAUAUCGGAACGUACCCUAGAGUGGGGGAUAACGUAGCGAAAGUUACGCUAAUACCGCAUACGAUCUAAGGAUGAAAGUGGGGGAUCGCAAGACCUCAUGCUCGUGGAGCGGCCGAUAUCUGAUUAGCUAGUUGGUAGGGUAAAAGCCUACCAAGGCAUCGAUCAGUAGCUGGUCUGAGAGGACGACCAGCCACACUGGAACUGAGACACGGUCCAGACUCCUACGGGAGGCAGCAGUGGGGAAUUUUGGACAAUGGGCGAAAGCCUGAUCCAGCAAUGCCGCGUGAGUGAAGAAGGCCUUCGGGUUGUAAAGCUCUUUUGUCAGGGAAGAAACGGUGAGAGCUAAUAUCUUUGCUAAUGACGGUACCUGAAGAAUAAGCACCGGCUAACUACGUGCCAGCAGCCGCGGUAAUACGUAGGGUGCAAGCGUUAAUCGGAAUUACUGGGCGUAAAGCGUGCGCAGGCGGUUUUGUAAGUCUGAUGUGAAAUCCCCGGGCUCAACCUGGGAAUUGCAUUGGAGACUGCAAGGCUAGAAUCUGGCAGAGGGGGGUAGAAUUCCACGUGUAGCAGUGAAAUGCGUAGAUAUGUGGAGGAACACCGAUGGCGAAGGCAGCCCCCUGGGUCAAGAUUGACGCUCAUGCACGAAAGCGUGGGGAGCAAACAGGAUUAGAUACCCUGGUAGUCCACGCCCUAAACGAUGUCUACUAGUUGUCGGGUCUUAAUUGACUUGGUAACGCAGCUAACGCGUGAAGUAGACCGCCUGGGGAGUACGGUCGCAAGAUUAAAACUCAAAGGAAUUGACGGGGACCCGCACAAGCGGUGGAUGAUGUGGAUUAAUUCGAUGCAACGCGAAAAACCUUACCUACCCUUGACAUGGCUGGAAUCCUUGAGAGAUGAGGAGUGCUCGAAAGAGAACCAGUACACAGGUGCUGCAUGGCUGUCGUCAGCUCGUGUCGUGAGAUGUUGGGUUAAGUCCCGCAACGAGCGCAACCCUUGUCAUUAGUUGCUACGAAAGGGCACUCUAAUGAGACUGCCGGUGACAAACCGGAGGAAGGUGGGGAUGACGUCAAGUCCUCAUGGCCCUUAUGGGUAGGGCUUCACACGUCAUACAAUGGUACAUACAGAGCGCCGCCAACCCGCGAGGGGGAGCUAAUCGCAGAAAGUGUAUCGUAGUCCGGAUUGUAGUCUGCAACUCGACUGCAUGAAGUUGGAAUCGCUAGUAAUCGCGGAUCAG